RNAcentral lists this unclassified non-coding RNA (1141 nucleotides) under Portunus trituberculatus (swimming crab). RNAcentral describes it as "uncharacterized LOC123511651, transcript variant X2". The record is from RNAcentral. Lineage: Eukaryota; Metazoa; Arthropoda; Malacostraca; Decapoda; Portunidae.
GGGAGGAUUUCUUUUGUUUGCGCUGUGUAGGUAGGACGUGUGUGCGCCAGGAAGUGUGUUUACCCACUUUGAUUAACGUUGUUAUGUGUGCAAGUUGGUCUGGUGUCAUUUCUCUGGUUGCGUGGUUCCUGUUGAAUGUCGGUAAGUGUAUAUACGACAAGGGACGAGGUCAGGUCAUGCCGGCCAUCCCUUAAACAUGGGGCAAACGUCUCGGGCGUCAGUCAGGAGAUGGAGCACGACCCGCCACAAGUCUAGCACCGGCGUCCCUUCAUCUGUGCACUACCAACUUAACAUCUGUUUCUCCCGAGCGAACUCGUCAGCCACAGCGGCGCUUGAGUCCUCUAUACCUGUACCCGCCCAAGCGUCUGAGAAGCCCCGUCAUCCUGCUGCUGCUGCUGCUGCUGCUGCUGCUCAUCAUCAUCACCUGUGUCCAUAUGGUAGCAGUCUAUCUCUAGGUCGUCUUCAGAAAAGGAUGCAGAUCGCAGGCGCGAGUUCCGGCACAGGCAGAGGCUGGGCCGUUUCAACUCCUUCAUACGAGGCGUUGGCUGCUAGAAAAUGUUCGGUCCUGCCACUACUGAAGGUAGAACCAAACCAGCGUGUCCUAACGAUCCCCAACAUGCAUCAGGAAACUGACUUUUCUUGUACUGGAGGACACUCUGCCUAGCUGCACCUUCCAUGGAGCAAUCGGAUCCUGCCUCGCACCAGCUUUUGCCGAGACAACACGGUGCCAUUCAGGGAGGGAGAACCCACUGCCUUGCUGCAUCUUCCACGGAGCGAUCUGACCCUGCCUCGCACCAGCUUUGCUGAGACAACACGGUGCUACUCAGGGAGGGAGAACCCACUGCCUCGUUGCACCUUCCACGGAGGAAUUGCACAACACAUGGUGCCAUCCAGGGAGGGAGCACACACUUCCUCGCUGCACUUCCACGGAGAAAUUGAACACCUGGUGCCAUCCAGGGAGGGAGGACACCAUGGCUCUGUACCUAACUUAACAAAUGCAUGUUGCCAAUCACCCUUGUAAUGUAGUUCCUUCCGUUAUGUGAAUGUACGCACACAAGUGUAAUGUUAUUAUUCCUUCAUUGUUCUGUGAUGUACCCACAUAACUGGUAUUAGUACUACUAAUAAAUUAUGAUUAAGAAAA